GGACGAACGCUGGCGGCGUGCUUAACACAUGCAAGUCGAGCGGUAAGGCCCUUUCGGGGGUACGACGAGCGGCGAACGGGUGAGUAACACGUGGGUGACCUGCCCUCAGCUCUGGGAUAAGCCUGGGAAACCGGGUCUAAUACUGGAUAUGACUCCAUGACGCAUGUUGUGGGGUGGAAAGCCUUGUGCGGCUGAGGAUGGGCCCGCGGCCUAUCAGCUUGUUGGUGGGGUGANGGCCUACCAAGGCGACGACGGGUAGCCGGCCUGNGAGGGCGACCGGCCACACUGGGACUGAGACACGGCCCAGACUCCUACGGGAGGCAGCAGUGGGGAAUCUUGCGCAAUGGGCGAAAGCCUGACGCAGCGACGCCGCGUGAGGGAUGACGGCCU
Molecule: ribosomal RNA, 390 nt
Filed under: uncultured bacterium
Lineage: Bacteria
Description: bacterial SSU rRNA
Rfam family: Bacterial small subunit ribosomal RNA
Source: RNAcentral